UGCAAUUUAUAGUAAUGAAUGUACAUAAUAUACAUUUAAGCGCUAAAAUUAUCUAUGUGUUAUUAAAAUUAAUAGAAAAUAAAAAAGGGGGAAUUUUGGGAAAAAAAGGAUGAGCUGGGCUAGAAAACAAGUGUCCUGUCCCAAGGUACCUUUGACUUUUGAUACCUUUUCUGAAAUUCUCCAGUCAUUAAAUCUUUUACAAAAUUUCAUUGAUUACAAAAAAA
RNAcentral lists this long non-coding RNA (224 nucleotides) under Mytilus galloprovincialis (Mediterranean mussel). The record is from RNAcentral. Lineage: Eukaryota; Metazoa; Mollusca; Bivalvia; Mytilida; Mytilidae.